Molecule: long non-coding RNA, 777 nt
Organism: Hyaena hyaena (striped hyena)
Lineage: Eukaryota; Metazoa; Chordata; Mammalia; Carnivora; Hyaenidae
Exons: 4
Source: RefSeq, a predicted model, not a curated record
AGGAAUCUUGCUUCAGCCAUAAACAAGAUGACAAAUUAAAGGUUCAUGAACAAAAGAAGGAGGUAUUCAAGACAUUGUUCUAGGUGCUGAGGGAACAGCAAUGAAAUGCAAAGACACAGUCUCUGUCCUGGUAACAGAUGAAGCUGGAAAGAGUAAGCAAAGUUGGAAUGUGGACUUUGGCCUUUAUCUGAAAAGUAAUAAUAGAAAGUUACUCAAAGGUUUUGGGCAGUUUAUUCUAAUGUGUAACAACAGCCGUCUCCUUCAUAUGAGAAGAUUAAUAACUUGGGCAAUACUCCUGGUAGAUCUGCCAUUUGGCUAAGCUUAUAGAAAGACUCCCAAACAGUUGUGUUCAGCUCCAUCUUGUGUGGAGAGAGAAGUGUUCCUCAUCAUGUCAUAUGCUCACACAGAUUGUCCAGAUUUGAGGAUUGAAUUCCCUCCACACCGUGUGGUCCCAGUUACCCCUCUCCUGCCUCCCUUCCUCAUUCCAGUGCUAGGUUAUCCAGUCACUGGAUAUGGAAAAACUGCAUUCCACUGGAUCCUUGCUUCUAUGUUUCUGUUUCUGUCUGAGGUGCCAGCAAGAGAAGAAAAGAAAUACACAGGAAGCAUACUAGUAGGCUGAGCUGGGAUUCUGCUACACGUUCAGAUGACAGGUCACCUAUAGACAGAUGAUUCCGGGAUCAAUCUGGAGUUCUUAAUAUUACCAGGAAGAGGCUCAGAAGGCUGGAAAUAUGGGCAAAAGAUCAUCUUGAAAACCACACAGAGCUACGGAGUUCUGGU